CAGGGCAUAGCGAAGCCAGGUAUUGCGCUUGCUUUGGAAGCAAGAGAUCGGAGGUUCAAAUCCUUCUGCCCUGA
RNAcentral lists this transfer RNA (74 nucleotides) under Chryseolinea lacunae. RNAcentral's name for it is "Chryseolinea sp. Jin1 tRNA-Pro". It matches the Rfam family "tRNA". From Rfam's summary of the family: Transfer RNA (tRNA) molecules are approximately 80 nucleotides in length. Their secondary structure includes four short double-helical elements and three loops (D, anti-codon, and T loops). Lineage: Bacteria; Pseudomonadati; Bacteroidota; Cytophagia; Cytophagales; Fulvivirgaceae. The record is from RNAcentral.